RNAcentral lists this ribosomal RNA (497 nucleotides) under uncultured bacterium. RNAcentral describes it as "partial 16S ribosomal RNA". It matches the Rfam family "Bacterial small subunit ribosomal RNA", at positions 28 to 507 of the family's 1533-position model. The record is from RNAcentral.
GACGAACGCUGGCGGCGUGCCUAAUACAUGCAAGUAGAACGCUGAAGAGAGGAGCUUGCUCUUCUUGGGUGAGUUGCGAACGGGUGAGUAACGCGUAGGUAACCUGCCUUGUAGCGGGGGAUAACUAUUGGAAACGAUAGCUAAUACCGCAUAACAAUGGAUGACCCAUGUCAUUUAUUUGAAAGGGGCAAAUGCUCCACUACAAGAUGGACCUGCGUUGUAUUAGCUAGUAGGUGAGGUAACGGCUCACCUAGGCGACGAUACAUAGCCGACCUGAGAGGGUGAUCGGCCACACUGAGACUGAGACACGGCCCAGAUUCCUACGGGAGGCAGCAGUAGGGAAUCUUCGGCAAUGGGGGCAACACUGACCGAGCAACGCCGCGUGAGUGAAGAAGGUUUUCGGAUCGUAAAGCUCGGUUGUAAGUCAAGAACGAGUGUGAGAGUGGAAAGUUCACACUGUGACGGUAGCUUACCAGAAAGGGACGGCUAACUACGUG